GAUGAACGCUGGCGGCGUGCUUAACACAUGCAAGUCGAGCGAACGGACGAGAAGUUUGCGUCUCUGAUGUUAGCGGCGGACGGGUGAGUAACGAGUGGAUAAUCUCCCUUUAAGACUGGGAUAAUUUCGGGAAACCGGCGCCAAUACCGGAGAAUAUUUUGCACCGCAUGGUUCAAAAGAGAAUUUCGGUCUUGCUGUAACUACUAGAUGGAUCCGCGCUGUAUUAGCUAGUUGGUAAGGUAACGGCUUAUCAAGGCAACGAUGGAUAGCCGAGUUAACAGGGUGAUCGGCCACACUGGAGCGGAGACGCGGCCCAGACUCCUGAGGUAGGCAGCAGUCGAGAAUCGUCCGCAAUGGGGGAGAGCCUGACAGAGCACCGCCGCGUGAGUUAUGAAGAUCCUCGGAUCGUAAAACUCUGUUAUUAGGGGAGAACAUAUGUGUAAGUAACUGUGCAGAUCUUGACGGUACCUAAUCAGAAAGCCACGGCUAACUACGUG
This 497-nucleotide ribosomal RNA is filed under the name uncultured bacterium. RNAcentral's name for it is "partial 16S ribosomal RNA". It matches the Rfam family "Bacterial small subunit ribosomal RNA", at positions 28 to 507 of the family's 1533-position model. The record is from RNAcentral.